UCUAAUACCGGAUACUGACCCGCUUGGGCAUCCAAGCGGUUCGAAAGCUCCGGCGGUGCAGGAUGAGCCCGCGGCCUAUCAGCUUGUUGGUGAGGUAAUGGCUCACCAAGGCGACGACGGGUAGCCGGCCUGAGAGGGCGACCGGCCACACUGGGACUGAGACACGGCCCAGACUCCUACGGGAGGCAGCAGUGGGGAAUAUUGCACAAUGGGCGAAAGCCUGAUGCAGCGACGCCGCGUGAGGGAUGACGGCCUUCGGGUUGUAAACCUCUUUCAGCAGGGAAGAAGCGAAAGUGACGGUACCUGCAGAAGAAGCGCCGGCUAACUACGUGCCAGCAGCCGCGGUAAUACGUAGGGCGCGAGCGUUGUCCGGAAUUAUUGGGCGUAAAGAGCUCGUAGGCGGCUUGUCACGUCGGUUGUGAAAGCCCGGGGCUUAACCCCGGGUCUGCAGUCGAUACGGGCAGGCUAGAGUUCGGUAGGGGAGAUCGGAAUUCCUGGUGUAGCGGUGAAAUGCGCAGAUAUCAGGAGGAACACCGGUGGCGAAGGCGGAUCUCUGGGCCGAUACUGACGCUGAGGAGCGAAAGCGUGGG
RNAcentral lists this ribosomal RNA (590 nucleotides) under Streptomyces griseoincarnatus. Its description in RNAcentral is "bacterial SSU rRNA". It matches the Rfam family "Bacterial small subunit ribosomal RNA", at positions 162 to 765 of the family's 1533-position model. Lineage: Bacteria; Bacillati; Actinomycetota; Actinomycetes; Kitasatosporales; Streptomycetaceae. The record is from RNAcentral.